Molecule: transfer RNA, 83 nt
Filed under: Danio rerio (zebrafish)
Lineage: Eukaryota; Metazoa; Chordata; Actinopteri; Cypriniformes; Danionidae
Description: tRNA-Leu (CAG) (tRNA-Leu-CAG-95-1)
Rfam family: tRNA
About the family: Transfer RNA (tRNA) molecules are approximately 80 nucleotides in length. Their secondary structure includes four short double-helical elements and three loops (D, anti-codon, and T loops).
Source: Rfam by way of RNAcentral
GUCAGGAUGGCCGAGCGGUCUAAGGCGCUGUGUUCAGGUCGCAGUCUCCCCUGAAGGCAUGGGUUCGAAUCCCACUUCUGACA